Molecule: ribosomal RNA, 1398 nt
Filed under: uncultured bacterium
Lineage: Bacteria
Description: 16S ribosomal RNA
Rfam family: Bacterial small subunit ribosomal RNA
Source: RNAcentral
AGAGUUUGAUCCUGGCUCAGGAUGAACGCUAGCUAUAGGCUUAACACAUGCAAGUCGAGGGGCAGCAUGGUCUUAGCUUGCUAAGGCCGAUGGCGACCGGCGCACGGGUGAGUAACGCGUAUCCAACCUGCCUUACACUCUUGGACAGCCUUCUGAAAGGGAGAUUAAUACAAGAUGUUAUCAUGAGUAAGCAUUUUCGCAUGAUUAAAGGUUUACCGGUGUAAGAUGGGGAUGCGUUCCAUUAGAUAGUAGGCGGGGUAACGGCCCACCUAGUCUUCGAUGGAUAGGGGUUCUGAGAGGAAGGUCCCCCACAUUGGAACUGAGACACGGUCCAAACUCCUACGGGAGGCAGCAGUGAGGAAUAUUGGUCAAUGGACGAGAGUCUGAACCAGCCAAGUAGCGUGAAGGAUGAAGGUUCUAUGGAUUGUAAACUUCUUUUAUACGGGAAUAAACGGAUCCACGUGUGGAUUUUUGCAUGUACCGUAUGAAUAAGGAUCGGCUAACUCCGUGCCAGCAGCCGCGGUAAUACGGAGGAUCCGAGCGUUAUCCGGAUUUAUUGGGUUUAAAGGGAGCGUAGAUGGGUUGUUAAGUCAGUUGUGAAAGUUUGCGGCUCAACCGUAAAAUUGCAAUUGAUACUGGCAGUCUUGAGUACAGUUGAGGUAGGCGGAAUUCGUGGUGUAGCGGUGAAAUGCUUAGAUAUCACGAAGAACUCCGAUUGCGAAGGCAGCUUACUAACCUGUAACUGACAUUGAUGCUCGAAAGUGUGGGUAUCAAACAGGAUUAGAUACCCUGGUAGUCCACACGGUAAACGAUGAAUACUCGCUGUAGGCGAUAUACAGUCUGCGGCCAAGCGAAAGCAUUAAGUAUUCCACCUGGGGAGUACGCCGGCAACGGUGAAACUCAAAGGAAUUGACGGGGGCCCGCACAAGCGGAGGAACAUGUGGUUUAAUUCGAUGAUACGCGAGGAACCUUACCCGGGCUUAAAUUGCAACCGAAUAUGGCGGAAACGCUAUAGCUAGCAAUAGCGGUUGUGAAGGUGCUGCAUGGUUGUCGUCAGCUCGUGCCGUGAGGUGUCGGCUUAAGUGCCAUAACGAGCGCAACCCUUGCCGAUAGUUACUAACAGGUUAUGCUGAGGACUCUGUCGGGACUGCCAUCGUAAGAUGUGAGGAAGGUGGGGAUGACGUCAAAUCAGCACGGCCCUUACGUCCGGGGCUACACACGUGUUACAAUGGGGGGUACAGAGGGCUGCUACCACGCAAGUGGAUGCCAAUCCCAAAAACCUCUCUCAGUUCGGAUUGAAGUCUGCAACCCGACUUCAUGAAGCUGGAUUCGCUAGUAAUCGCGCAUCAGCCACGGCGCGGUGAAUACGUUCCCGGGCCUUGCACACACCGCCCGUCA